This is a long non-coding RNA of Esox lucius (northern pike), 906 nucleotides long. NCBI's taxonomy places the organism in Eukaryota, Metazoa, Chordata, Actinopteri, Esociformes, Esocidae. The record is from Ensembl.
AUUUUUUUUAUUAUGUUUGAUGUAAGGAGGGCCCAUAGGUCUUUACAAAGGGUGGUCUUUCUACCAAGUUGGAAUGUGUGUGUGUGUGUUCUCUCGCUAUGCCUCGUUGCUGGACGACUGGUGAGAGGGAACCAAUACACAGAGGGUUGGGACAUCACAAACCACUUCCUGGUGAUAAAUCACACCACCGACUGGACAAAGUGUGGGGAAGAAACACAGAAACACAGGACGACCCACCACGUCCUGGGACUUCCUCCACCCACCACGUCCUGGGACUUCCUCCACCCAGGAGAGUGGAACAAAAUUAUGGGCCCUGUAAAUAGGCGGUCUCUGAGGGUCCCUCCCCUCUAAAUUCAAGAUUCAACAUUUUUUGAGGGCCCCUCUAUAUAUUUGGGACCUAUAUACUUAGUUCACCUUUUUCACCUGGCCUAACGUCACUUCCUCCACCCACUACAUCCUGGGACGCCCUCCUCCCACCACUUCCUGGGACACCAUCAGGACUCAGCCCCCACCCCUAAAUGACUCUAACUAGGACAGAUAGGGACAAGGCCCUCAGAAAGGGAGGGCCCCUAAAAUCAUUAGGCAUAAAAAAAUAAAAAUGCUAAAACUAACACAUUUGUUCUUCCUAAUUAAGCAGUGUACCAGCUAACAAACAGUACUUACAAGCACCACUUUCACAUUGGCUUAUGUACACACCAUCAGGGAAGACAAUUUCACAAAUUAUUAUUGAAUAAUCACUGGUGGAUACAUAUUAAGAAAAGAUAAUGUCCCUGUUACCCAUUUCUUUAGAUUUUUUUCAGACAUGAGGAAAAUUGAUUGGUGGAGAUAUCAGAAGGUAGAUCAGCAUUCUUUUUUUAUUUAAAUUAUUUUGUCUGAAGGGUCUAUUAUUUAAUGUAUUAGGCAGCA